CUGCUUCCCGCCCCCCCCCCCCCUUCUCCUAACGCUCCGCGCGGGCCACUCGGGGGUGGUGCGGCGGCGACGGCGACUCCGGUCCGGGCUCCAUGACCUGUAACCUCCCGGGGACGCUGACGAGCAGCCGCGCUCAGCUCAAGAACCACCCCCUCCAAGUUGUCUUCCUGGAUUUACUCGGCACCAAAGUUAGCCUUCUCUUUCCUGGGGCCCGGCAGCCUGGAAAGAGAAACGGUGGUGGUGGAUGAUCGCACCGAUCCCGAUUUGGAAGUUGUGUGGCAGGUGACUUAGAAGGAUAAGACCCCCAGAAAACCUGGAAGCGUGAUAUAUCAACCAAGGCAAAGCCCCCAGAGCUUCUCUUCGCCCAGGAAAGGGUGGCAGCUGAAAGCCUGAGUCAUUCCUGGGAGAAGCAGCAGCAGAAACCGGAGUAAAAACGGUCUUCUAUUUUCAGGCUGGACAAGACGGCAUAGUCUCAUUUCUCCUCGCUCCUCCCCACCAAGUAGAACUGCGAGUGCUAGAAAUGAUUCAAGAGGCAACCAAAGAAGAAUUCCCAAAGGUCUAAAGAGGAAGACAGAAUGGUCAGGAACCCCAGGACCGGGAGACAUCGUAGCAGCAGGGCGCCUUUUGACUCCCCACCCAGCAGAAGGAGGGGAGCCGGGCCCCCGCAUUUCCCAGUAGGCAGCUUCUUCCUCCGGAUUGGAUGCGCCAAUCCGCGUGGGCCCCGUGGGCCCCCGGCAACCCCGGCAAAGGGAAUCCAGCAGGGAGCCCCGCUGACACGAAACAGCCGGGGGGGGGGGGGGGGGGACACGCUCUCCUCCCCCGCCACGCGGGGCUCCCCUCCCUUGCCACGAGACACUGUGCGGCCAGGGCAUCGUCAUCAAGGGCAAAUCCGACCACCACGAGUCCUCUGGCCCAGGAAGGAGAGGUACCAGGAUGGCAUAUGGCACCGACAAGGGGCGCGGGUUCCACCAGAGCAAGCAAAACCAGGGAAGCUUAGCUGUUCCCGCAGACUAGAGACUCACUCCCUCCACCUGCGGGCCUCAGGCCACCCAGCCUGGUGGAACACCUUCUGCUCCCUUAGGCGGCACCGGUGCGGACCGGCGGGGGCCCCGUCAGCGCCACAUUAACAAGCGGACCAAAAUAGCAUCGCAGAGGCUCUGCAACGUAAAUGGUCGUUGAAAUCACAGCCUACAAAAGUAGGCCAGGACCUGCACGCUAAACCUAAACGGAGUGACCGCUUACUAAAACAAAAGAUUUAAAUAGCCUCCUGGGGCGCCUGGGUGGCUCAGUCGGUUCAGCGGCCGACUCCUGAUUU
Long non-coding RNA from Lynx canadensis (Canada lynx), 1315 nucleotides. RefSeq lists it as uncharacterized. The record is from RefSeq and is a predicted model, not a curated record. NCBI's taxonomy places the organism in Eukaryota, Metazoa, Chordata, Mammalia, Carnivora, Felidae. The transcript has 4 exons.